Molecule: long non-coding RNA, 1533 nt
Filed under: Homo sapiens (human)
Lineage: Eukaryota; Metazoa; Chordata; Mammalia; Primates; Hominidae
Description: long independently transcribed non-coding RNA 1192 (LINC01192)
Source: RNAcentral
CGGCGGUUCAAGACUGAGUUUUCUAUCUCUUCAGUGCCUCUUUCAACAAUGAAGAUCAAACCAGGUUUUGUGCAAAUAUCUGCUGAGUGAACUACUUAUUUGAAAAUACAUCAUUGGUUAAUAUUCCCUUUUGCUCAUUGAAAUCUCAAAGACUACAGACAAACUACAAUAAAGCCAUGCCCUGACUGGAUGUGCCUAACAUUUGUCUGGUGCUUAAAGGAGUUGGCUGCAUGCGUGGAAAUGUUGGAAAGUCACCAAAAAUAGUUCUCCAAGUCAGAAGCGGUGCAAAAGCUGCCUCAGCUCUUGGUGGAUUUUCAAUUUCUCCCAGCCAUCUCUGUUUCGCUAAAGGUUUCUGAAGACAGUGGAAUGCUGUUGAAGACACCACCUUGAUAAAACAAAAACAUCAGCCAAAUUAAAUUUAAAGGAGUUUAAUUGAGCAAAGAAUUAUUCAUGAAUCAAGCAGUCUUCCAAGCCAGAGUAGGCUCAAAUACUCCAGCACAGCCACGUGGUGGAAGAUUUAUGGACAAAAGAAGAAAAGUAACAUAUAGAAAAUGGAAAUGAGGGGAAGCUUUUUUCUCCUCCCCAUCCUGAUCACUAGUAUGAGAAGGGGUGCUAAUGGACCAGCCUUGGCCUUGCAGAUGAAGAUGAUGAAGGAAGAAGAUGUAUAAAGAACCUCUGAAAGAGUCCCAGUUUUACAUUUCAAAGUCUUUUUCCUUCUGUUGUUUAUUGUGUUGGGUUGGAGUGGAGGAUAUUUGAUGGAGAAUUGAUUCUGAAACUUGCCAAAAUAUGGAUAAUACUUUGCUCCUUUUCCAUUGUGGGUUAUCACAAAGAAGAGUUUCACUUUUAGUCAUCUAUUUACAGGUACGGCAAUAGCUAUUUUCUUUUUCUUUUUUUUAUUUUAGGUUUUAUUUUAGGUACAUGUGAAGGUUUCUUGUAUAGGUAAACUAGUGUCAUGUGGGAUUGUUGCACAGAUUAUUUUAUCAACCAGGUAUUAAGGAAGCUCAGUACCCAAUAGUUAUAUUUUCUGCUCCUCUCCCUCAUCCCACUCUCCACCCUGAGGUCGACCCCAGUGUCUGUUGUUUCCUUCUUUCUGUUAAUGAGUUCUCAUCAUUUAGCUCCCACUUAUAAGUGAGAACAUGUGCUAUGUGUUUUUCUGUUCCUGUGUUAGUUGGCUAAGGAUAAUGGCCUCCAGCUCCAUUUUUGUUUCCCUCUCCAGCAUCUGUUUUUUUUUUUAAUUUUUAGUAAUAUCCAUUCUGACUGGUAUGAGAUGGUAUCUCAUUGUGGUUCUGACUUGCAUUUCUGUAAUGGUCAAUGAUGUUCAGCUUUUCUUUUCAUGUGCUUGUUGCCCACAUGUAUGUUUUGUUUUGAAAAGUGUUUGUUCGUGUCCUUUAUCCACUUUUCAAUGGGGUUGUUUGCUUUUCUCUCGUAAAUUUGUUUAAUUUCCUUAUAGAUGUUAUGACCUAGCAGCUGUACCUUUUUUAAUUUCAAGACAUUCAAUAAACUAAGAACCAACAGCACAAAAAAAAAAAAAAA